GCGGAGGAACAUGUGGUUUAAUUCGAUGAUACGCGAGGAACCUUACCCGGGCUUGAAAUGUGCAGGACGGGGGGCAGAGACGCCUCCUUUCUUCGGACCUGCAUGUAGGUGCUGCAUGGUUGUCGUCAGCUCGUGCCGUGAGGUGUCGGCUUAAGUGCCAUAACGAGCGCAACCCCUUCCGCCGGUUACCAUCGGGUUAUGCCGGGGACUCCGACGGCACUGCCGCCGCAAGGCGUGAGGAAGGUGGGGAUGACGUCAAAUCAGCACGGCCCUUACGUCCGGGGCUACACACGUGUUACAAUGGGGGGCACAGCGAGCAGGGCGCAGGCGACUGCAUCCGAAUCAAGAAAUCCCCUCCCAGUUCGGAUCGGAGCCUGCAACUCGGCUCCGUGAAGCUGGAUUCGCUAGUAAUCGCGCAUCAGCCAUGGCGCGGUGAAUACGUUCCCGGGCCUUGUACACACCGCCCGUCAAGCCAUGAAAGCCGGGGGCGCCUGAAGUCCGCAGCCGCCAAGGCGCGGCCUAGGGCGAUACCGGUGAUUGGGGCU
This 545-nucleotide ribosomal RNA is filed under the name uncultured rumen bacterium. RNAcentral's name for it is "bacterial SSU rRNA". It matches the Rfam family "Bacterial small subunit ribosomal RNA", at positions 929 to 1482 of the family's 1533-position model. The record is from RNAcentral.